This 3272-nucleotide long non-coding RNA is filed under the name Daphnia pulicaria. Its description in RNAcentral is "uncharacterized LOC124327824". Lineage: Eukaryota; Metazoa; Arthropoda; Branchiopoda; Diplostraca; Daphniidae. The record is from RNAcentral.
UUCUUUUCCUUAGCGCUAACAGCUCGCCUUGCAUCUGUUGCAUUACUUUCAUCAGUUGUUGCAAUAUUGGGAGUGUUCCCUCUCCUCAUGCUUUUCCUUUCCACUCCUGCUUGCUGCUAAUGCCUGCAGCUGCUUCUCCUUCUCUUCAGCGAUCAUAUUCACCACCCGGCUCCCCUGUGCCAUCACUUCCGCUGCCUUGGUGUGUAGCCUCACUGCGGUCAGAAAUUCAUCGCACGUCUUUGGUUGCAUCACUCACACCUUCUCCAUUAGGGUUUCAGUCCGUCAAAUAAGUAUUCUAGCUUUUUUGCCUCUGCCAUUUGCGGAUUCACUAACCAUCAUAGGUUCAUAACUUCGUAAAAGUACUCUACCCUCGGCUCGUUGUUACUCUGUCGACUCUUCCGCAGCUUCGACGCCUGGUGUCUGGGAUACCACUGUUUUAGUAAUUCAUUCAGAAACACUGUCUGACGGAGCCACAGUGGCCGCCGCUGCCCCCGCCCGCACUGCUACCGUAUCCGUCCAACCUACUGGUGGUGUUAUGCAUUGAAACUACUUUCGCACCGGAUUGUCCAUAAACAUCCCAAAAUUCGCUCUUUUCUCCUAUUCUAUUAUAGUCUGCCGUUGUCUAACAACGUUCCAUCCAAUCCGCCGCAUCCUCCUCACUUUUCCCAGAAAAAGUCCAAGGAGUUUUGAAUAUGAUGAAACCGGCCAUUCUAACUGUCUGUGUUACCUGCGCCCCGGCCCCGUUCCCACCCCACUUGGAUCCCUUGCCUAAUCGCUGACUGCAGUUUAGUACCCUUGAAUGCUUUUUCUGAUACCAGGCCGGCUUUCUUGGAGAAUUUCAUAAGAAAAUGCCUAGACCGUUCGGAGUGUUGUGGAUCAUGGGUUUUUUACUGCUUCCAAGAUCAGUGUUGUGUAUUUCUUCGUAAAUAUGAAGAUGCAAAGAAAGGAAAAACCACUAUGUAACAACAAAUGUCAAAUAAAACCUUUUAUGGUCGUCUCCCAUCAUUGAGAUCAUCAAAUACUAGACUUUAACAAAAUGUUGCAUCUUCUCUCUCGUUGCUUUCUGUACACCAACUGCUGUCGGAAAAAAAUAAGGACAUGUCCCACAACAACUCAACAUGAUAGUUUAAGGGACACUGUGACUGUCUUGGGAAGCGUCAAUUGAAAACCAAAAUAUCUAUGAUAUAAUAAUACUGGCUCACACGUGUAAAAGCCAUUCAAAUAUCCCUUGCUGUGUUCAACAGGUAUCUUGGACUGGUAUGGGUUCGAGUCAUCCCAACAUGGCAACAGUUUGGAGCAGCUUUGUAUUAGUUAUGCAAAUGAAUAGUUGCAGUACUAUUUCACUAGCUAAUGAAGGUUCCAGGAGAAUGGUGUCCUGCUACCCAUAGUGUCGUACACAAACUGCUGUAGGGAAGCAGGGGGGACAAGUCCCACGUAGCAACUCAAACUGCAGGUUGAACCAAUCAUCAGAAAUGCGUUUUCAUCAUGAUCUACACCUUGUGUUAUCCGGUUCCAGGAUGACCAGAUGUUUCAGUGGCUGACUUAGUCAAAAAAUCAAAAAUCGAUUCUUCUGGACGGAAAGCAGUAUAGUGAGCAACUGGAUUCGGGCUACCGCUUCCUAUUAUUGCAUGAACGUUUCCAAGUGAAAGAAAUCCAGACCCUGACAGAGCCAGAGGAAUGGCUUUUCGUUCCAGGCAAAUGAAAUCCGGCUAACAAGGCUACUCGGUCAAAUAUUGGAGAAGGGAGUCUUUCUCAACGCUGGCUAGGAGGUUUCUGUUUCAGCCAGAAUCCUUAUGGCCAAAGGAUCUUCCUUGAAUAGCCAUCUCGGAAGAGAUGCGUAACUGCCGAACCUAUUCAGCCCACUUCUUUACUGGCGUUUCUGACUGGUCAGACAUUCCAUUGUUUCAGUCCAACAUUCACGAAUUCCUUCAAAUGAAAGGUUUCGCACAUCGGUUAUAAGGCCAGACAGUCUAUAACGCCUUGGCGGCCGGAUGUCUUGCGCAGUGGCCCGGCAAUGCAAAAUUUCCAUACAGCUCUAUUCAUCACCCGCUCACGGAACGAUUAAUUACUGUGCCACACGAGAACACACAUCAUGCUGCUACAAACCUCUUGUUCGUGAAUAUUAAUCAAAAAUUUUGGUUUAUGAUAGGGAACGACACAGUAAAGAAGAUACGACGAAGCUGUCUAGUGUGUAUUUGAGAAAGAGCGCCGUUCCCACAAGUCAACUCAUGAGAAACUUACCAACCUAUCGCUUAGACUCGUACUCGCCGCCGUUCUCUCACGUCGCGGUGGAGUUCUUCUGGCCGUUGGAAACUAGCACAGGAAGGAACAGAAUUUUCAAGCGAUAAGGAAUCGUAUUCUCUUGUCUGGUGACGAAAAUAAUUGCCCUGACCUCAUAGUCUUCGUCAGUCAGAUGAGAAGUUACACAAAGAAUAGCCAAUCCGUUAUUAGGCAUAGUCCAUAAAUCGCAUGUAAGGCUAAUUUUACUUGAAACCGACUAAUAUUUUUUUUUGCUGUCAAAUAUUUCGCUUUGAAGUGAGUAUAACUAAAAAAACUCAGGCAAUUAGUCAAUGAGCUUAAAAUAAAAUUGGAAUAUUAGUGGAUUGACUUAUGUACAGCUAACAAACAUUUUGCGCAAAAGAAGAGGUGAUAUAAUGGGAUUUGAGGAGGAAUUGAAAUCUUCGCUGUCAUACUUUAUGGAACCCCCAAGAGGCUUAAGUGAACGUGAGAAUAGCUGAUGUUAAUUCCCUUUGUGAAUUCAUUAAUUUUUGUCUUUCAGACAUGCGUGAAAACCUAAUUGAACUGGAAGAGAUUCUUAUACUGUAUCCACGUCAGAAAUUGGAUCAAAAAGGCGUUUUAACCCGCGCGAGAUAGACCUAGCUCAAGAUUUUUUAAAUUACUUAGAUUAAUAGUGCGAGGUAUAUUUGUUUGCAAAAAGAUAAAACACUAGUCUUCAUCUUUCUGAUUUUCAUUUUAUAAAAAUGUUUGGGAUCUGUAUUUAAAUGCAUCGUUUUUAAAUUGGAUCACCCUAAAAUAUGUCGCAUGGCCUGUCCCUACCCGAGGCGUGGGCUUAGGAUAUGGGGGUGGCGAAGGGGGAGGAAAUUCUUUGUUCUAGAAUCCUCCCCUUUUUCAUGACAAAAAGGCCAUGGGAAAAGUGCCAUCACACCAUCUAGCGGUCAAUUUUGGAACUAUACAUAAAAAUCUUUCAAAUGCCGUAAUCGGAUAAACAUCAACAACAUAGAAAAGUCUUGUUUUGACGUAUCUUGUCAUCU